Molecule: long non-coding RNA, 3335 nt
Organism: Musa acuminata AAA Group (dessert banana)
Lineage: Eukaryota; Viridiplantae; Streptophyta; Magnoliopsida; Zingiberales; Musaceae
Exons: 3
Source: RefSeq, a predicted model, not a curated record
UAAACAAUGAGUCUUCGCCAAAUAGACUCAGAGGAAUCCCAAACGUACAGUAGCCUAAAGAUCACAUCUUGUCAAUGUUCUCACGAAUCCACGGCUAAUGCUUCCAACAAAACAUCUCUUUCUCACUCAAAAUAUCAUCUUUCUUUCCCAUCACACUUACCAGAUUCUUGUUGGGUUCGCUGAAAUCAACCUCAAUAUGGAUGAACCCUUCGCGUCUUUCUUGAUUUACUUUAAAUCUUCGGAGAGCUGCUCAUGGGUCUCGAUCAUACAAAAGGGUUUCUCUCUCACCGCCCAGUCCGUUGUAUUCCUCGAAGUCGAACCCUAGAACCAGAGGGCAGGGAGAAUGCUUGCAGCUGUCGUGCCGUCGGUCGGACGAAGCCAGCAAUGGGCUCGUACUUUACGAGUACGCCCCUAACAAGAUGGAUAUCCACGAAUAUGCCCUCUUGUGUUUGCAUGUGUUCUAACAGCCCGCGAAAUUUGUCGCGUCUGCGUGUAAUUUCCGGCGCGACUUCAGAUACGACACCUCGACGUAAUCUCAGCCGCCGCCUUCUCCGCAUAACCACUUCGAUUCUUUGCUCUCUCUUCUAAUCGGGGAAAUAAGAACCAAACAAAAGUUCGGCUUUUGGAACGGAGGGGAGGAGACCAGUUGAAGCUUCAUUUUGAAUUCGUGGAAGCCCUCGCCAAUUGAUCAAUUCUUCGAAACAAUUUUGUGAUCAUCCUUCAGUGAAUAUGAAAGGGCAAGGCAGCUAUAUUCCACCUCCAUAUAUUCCUCUACAUCAGUAGGAUGCUGAAGUUGACAGUAACCCUGUGAAUGCAAGUUCCUCUUCUCACCUAUCUGUAACACAGGACAUGACAUAAUGGUCUUCUGGAAUCUGUGUUUGCUUCGAUGAUUUGCAGAGCUGUAUGCUACUUUCUGCCAUCUGACUUAAUUUUCAGAAGAAAAAGAAUUCAAGGUGCAAUUUUUUCAUUUAAUGCAACAUAAUAGUAUUCCUAGAGCUCUUGAAAAGAAAUUGUUUGAGAAGAUAGGGAUUCUAGACUCAGCUCAAAUUAAUUACCACUAUGCUGUAUUGCUAGUUAUGCAAGCAGUUGGGUCUUUCUUUAUUGUCUAUGUGCAUGCAGGAGUAAGGCUUGUCUACGACACUUCACGAAAACAUAAUUUCUGGAAGGUAUCAAUCCAUGCUACUUCACCUCUACAAAUUUUGGUUAUUUCCGUGCACCAUUAUCAUAUAUAGAUGAUAUGGCCAAAUUGUACCUUAAUAAAUUUAAAUAUUCUAAAUAAAAAAUGACUAAAGUUUAAACAAUAUUUGAUUUUCAAGCAAUCAUAUGAACAAAAUAAAAAUUUAAAACUGUAGCAUUCUCAAUUUUAUUUAAGCACAUUGAGUGACCUUUUCAUUUGAAAGGCUUUAGAUUUUAGAUAAAUUGUUUGUAAACCACAUUUGCUAUUCCAUAGAAAAUAUUCCUGGAAUGAGUCCUCUGAAAAUUAGGAAAACUUUAUUGUAUGUCUUCACUUACUUAUUAUGAUAAUAAGCAUGUCAUCAAGCUUUCAUACUAUUUUCCGUAGAAAAAUAGUUUUAUUUUGUCAUUUAUAAGUACUGGAAAACAAAAUUGGUUUGCUUUCCAUCCUAUGAGAACAUAUAUCAUGUUUCAUUAUGUAUGUUUGUUUAUACAACCUACAUUAGCUAUAAUAUUAUUUGAUUCUUUACCAUUAUCGGAAGAUUCUUUUUGCAUUUGAUAAGAGCUGCUUAUUCACAAGUAGCCAAAAAGUUGUUUCAGUUAUUUAUCUUUUGAUUCUUUUAGGUUGUAUUGGUGUUGUAUGUCCAUGCUUCCUGUAUGGGAAAAAUGCAGAAUUCCUGGGAUCUGGAACACUGGCAGGGUCAUGCAUAACCCAUUUUAUUUUGUGGGGUCUUGUCAAUAGUCUCUGCUGUCUGUUCACCAGAGGUCUACUUGCGGGAGUACCAGGAUCAAUGGUUGCUUGUUAUGCAUGUGGAUACCGCAAGUCACUACAGACAAAGUAUAAUCUGCAGGUGUGCCAGUGCCUUGAAAACAUUUGUGGAAUAAGUUUGUAUAUUUACUCCAUUGAGUAUACCAAAAAGUUACAUGAAAUACUUUCUCUAUCUCUUCACAACCCCAUUCCAGUAGCAAAUCUCAGUGCAAGUGGUGUGGCCCAAGUUGUUUUGUCUGAGUGACUUUUGACUCAGGGUUUGCUUAAUUUUUCUAGUGAUCCUACUACUUAACAAAGCAACAACAAAAAAGUUGCUAUAGAAAUGAUUUUUUAAUCAAUUCAUAUCUUCCUUUGUGAUUUCAUAAGGCUGUCCUUGUACUUCUUGGUCCAGAAUGGAUAUAGUCUAUAACACCAAUACAUGGUUUUUAUAAUAUGCUCUGAUGCAGAUUUUUUUGGCAUGAAUGUGUCACUGAAUCAUUAUGAGGUUAUUGUUUGGCUUAAUUUUUUCAUGAAAAUUUGACAGUUGAACAGAUUUUAAGAGUUUCAUUGCAUUUUUCUGAUAUUUGGUUGUAUAGAAAUGAAAUCUAGAGUGUUGUUGCAAACAAUGAACUAAUACUAUUGAGAUGACCUAUUUUGCCCCUUUCUAUUUUAAUUAUACUUGAUACUCCUUCUAAAGUGUUGAGAUGACUAUUCUCCAAUAUAGUCUAAUUUCUAAUUUGAUUUUCUUUCCGGGAAGCACUGUGUGGUGACUUGGCCACAUAUUUGUUCUGCCACUUGUGUGCCAUUUGUCAAGAGUGCAGAGAGAUUUAUGAGAGAUCCAAUGGCUUCAGUCCUACUCUGGCAUUCUCUGAGGUUGCCUCUCCCCCAAUCCAGACAAUGGACUUAGCUCCACAUGAAUAAUGGAAGUUGAAGAACGUUUAUAUUGCUUGCUCACACUGCUCCUUGCGCUUCCUUGAGAAUGGCUUGUAGCUUUGGAAAAACUAAAGCUGUUGAAACAUCGAGGACAAGGAUAUUGCAAUUCUUCCAACUUCAAGUCGUGCAAGAGGCUUUGUAGUUUUGCCAUAUUGAAACGAGGAGUAAAAUAUCUUUUAGAUUUUUACAUCUGCUUAAUUGAUUGUACUACGAUGUUCAUGUAUGCUUGUGGAGUAAAAUAUUUCUGCUUCAGCUGAGGUUCAGAUUUAAACUGCACUUAGCGUUGAUCAUGUGACAUACCAAAUGGCUGGCAUUUGAAGUCAUGUUGUGAGGCCACCACAUGCUCAGAUAAGGCAAUCACAGUUUACUGACAAUCUCCGGUAUCCACACAUCAAAAGUAGUAAGUAAUAUUAACAGACCAAUCUCAGCGAUCUUCUUCAAUCUGUAUAAAACCAUAACAAGGAUCAACAUCUCUUUUAUA